This 210-nucleotide ribosomal RNA is filed under the name uncultured bacterium. Its description in RNAcentral is "partial 16S ribosomal RNA". It matches the Rfam family "Bacterial small subunit ribosomal RNA", at positions 524 to 734 of the family's 1533-position model. The record is from RNAcentral.
UACGUAGGGUGCUAGCGUUAUCCGGAUUUACUGGGCGUAAAGGGCGCGCAGGUGGUCUUUCAAGUCGGUGGUUAAAGGCUACGGCUCAACCGUAUUAAGCCGCCGAAACUGGAAGGCUUGAGUGCAGGAGAGGAGAGUGGAAGUCUAAGUGUAGCGGUGAAAUGCGUAGAUAUUGGGAAGAACACCAGUGGCGAAGGCGGCUUUCUGGAC